AACGAACGCUGGCGGCAUGCCUAACACAUGCAAGUCGAACGAGACCUUCGGGUCUAGUGGCGCACGGGUGCGUAACGCGUGGGAACCUGCCCUUAGGUUCGGAAUAACUCCCCGAAAGGGGUGCUAAUACCGGAUAAUGUCUUCGGACCAAAGAUUUAUCGCCUUUGGAUGGGCCCGCGUUGGAUUAGCUAGUUGGUAGGGUAAAAGCCUACCAAGGCGACGAUCCAUAGCUGGUCUGAGAGGAUGAUCAGCCACACUGGGACUGAGACACGGCCCAGACUCCUACGGGAGGCAGCAGUGGGGAAUAUUGGACAAUGGGCGAAAGCCUGAUCCAGCAAUGCCGCGUGAGUGAUGAAGGCCUUAGGGUUGUAAAGCUCCUUUACCCGGGAUGAUAAUGACAGUACCGGGAGAAUAAGCUCCGGCUAACUCCGU
This 432-nucleotide ribosomal RNA is filed under the name uncultured bacterium. RNAcentral's name for it is "partial 16S ribosomal RNA". It matches the Rfam family "Bacterial small subunit ribosomal RNA", at positions 29 to 506 of the family's 1533-position model. The record is from RNAcentral.